Molecule: ribosomal RNA, 490 nt
Filed under: uncultured bacterium
Lineage: Bacteria
Description: partial 16S ribosomal RNA
Rfam family: Bacterial small subunit ribosomal RNA
Source: RNAcentral
GAUGAACGCUAGCUACAGGCUUAACACAUGCAAGUCGAGGGGCAGCAUGGUCUUAGCUUGCUAAGGCCGAUGGCGACCGGCGCACGGGUGAGUAACACGUAUCCAACCUGCCGUCUACUCUUGGACAGCCUUCUGAAAGGAAGAUUAAUACAAGAUGGCAUCAUGGGUCCGCAUGUUCACAUGAUUAAAGGUAUUCCGGUAGACGAUGGGGAUGCGUUCCAUUAGAUAGUAGGCGGGGUAACGGCCCACCUAGUCUUCGAUGGAUAGGGGUUCUGAGAGGAAGGUCCCCUACAGUGGAACUGAGGCACGGUCGAAAGACCUACGGGAGGCAGCGGUGAGGAAUAGUGGUCAAUGGGAGAGAGCCUGACCCAGCCAAGUAGCGUGAAGGAUGACUGACCUAUGGGUUGUAAACUUCUUUUAUAAAGGAAUAAAGUCGGGUAUGGAUACCCGUUUGCAUGUACUUUAUGAAUAAGGAUCGGCUAACUCCGUG